AUACUUUAUAUGGUCGGAAACGCUUCCUUCUGCCUGUUACAUACUUUUCAACGAAUCUAGUAUACCCUUUUACUCUACGAGUAACGGGUAUAAUAAGACACAUGAGCGUCAGCGAAAUAUGUACUUCAUUUUUUUUCAGUGUAGUGCAGAGGCCAAUCAGUUGUCUUGGCUUCUUCUUUGCUGGCGAAUAAACAAGCCAAAAUCAGAAAAAACGACAGCGCGCCGAAAGACGCAAACAUUUUUGGACUGCAAACUUUUUCACUUUUCGCCUCGGUUCGUUUUGUAUUUUGCGCUGGUUUAUUUUUUAUCGCUAUUCGCAUUUCAUUUUGAUAAAUGGCGCUCCGCCCCCGGCGUCCUUGUCGAGUGGGCGUGUCAGCCAAAUGCCAGCCCAUUAAGCCAACUUGGCUUCAAACGUUUCAACUGAUUCAAGUGACCCAAAAUGAUUUCGGUUCGAACAGCGCCGUUCAGUGUGCAAUUUAAUUACUGUUUAUGCAUAAUGAUCGUUAGUUUUGCCUAAUUAAGCACCACUUGCACGACACCGAUAACAUUUUGCGAUACAACGAAACUAUUUUUGGGGCCUCUCCACCUGUCAGUCGACGUUAGGCAACACCUCAAAUUGAAAUCGAAUGAAAUUGCAUUUGGAUGGGACAAUAAAUUAUGCAAAUCAAGCAAUUACCUCGCCUGGACUCGCUCGUUUUUCGCAAUUCGUUUUUCGAGAGAUGCAAGGUAGCUCCAUUAGUCGGACUUUGUCACCUGUCAGGCUGUGUUCAGGACAUGCAGGGCAAAAACAUUUACCAAUUUGCAUAAAAUUUGUAUACUCAUUUGCUAAAUUCACAAAUUAAUUGCCGUCACACUGGCACACUACCACACUUGCACAAUUGCACAUAUGCACACGUUGCGCAUACGCCGCGUGGGCGGCCAGUAAAUUUACCACUGCCUAAUGAGCCAGUGACCAAGUCAACCGCACAUGCCGAUAGUUAUUGAAAGUUGGAGAGCAAAACGAUGCAAUCGGUAACCAAACUUGGCAGCCGCCACUCGAGCAUUAAAUUUCGAUCGAAUCGCAGAGCUUUCGUUUUUGGGUUUGCACAGGAAAAAACUACGCAUAUGCCACGAAAUUCAAUUUAAACGGCUACCGAAGAUAAUAAUUUUCCCACAAUUUACUCCUUUUUAAGCAAACAUGAAUAACUACUGGUUAGCUAUUUAUGGCUGAAAUCAUAAUUCAGGUCUAAAAUGCUGUGGCCAUCCUUAUUUUGUUAGUAAACCAAUUAGGUAAAUUACUAUUACUAAACAAGUUUUCUACACUUCGUGUGUCGGAAGCUCGGUCGGUCUGGAACUUAAGCCAAUGCUAAGCCACUGCUUAAAUAUAAGGUAAACACCACCAAUUAAUUGGAGCAGCAGUGAUUUUAAGCUGGCUGUCACCUGCUGGGCGUCCCAUUCAAGGAGAACCGCCUCGAAAUGUAAUUUCCUGAAUUGCAGUUUUGAAUACACAAUUCGCUCGUUCAAUGGGGCUGUUCCACGGCAGACGAAGUGCUUAUUGGAGUGACUGUGGAGGACUGUGGAGAACUGUGGAGCCGUAAAGGACCUUCCCCCGACACACACACAUACACGAACACACACACUGAAACACUCACUCAGAAAAGGACUCUGAAUGCUCGAGUGGACAGGUAAUGGAAGCUGUCAGAAACUGCGACAUCACCGCUGUCAGUGGCUUGGUUUUUUGUAUUUUUUGUGUUAUUCCCGGGCAAACAAAGAGCGGCGAAGGAAAAUAAUAUGAAAAUGCGUGGAAGAAAAGAUGAAACUUAUUUGCCCAGCCGUAUGCAAAUUUAUUCACUUGGACGCAAAUAAUACAAUUUCAAUGGCAUUAAUGAAAACAAUUUUCAUAAAUGAGUGAAACCAACAAAAUGCGACAGACGUUCAACGAGCCGCAUCGAAUUUGGCUGCAUGCGAAAGUAGCUUAAUAUUUAAAUGGCAGACACUUCUUUCCGUACUUUUUCUUUUUGCGCCAGUUCAAAUUUUAUUUUGCAACUGAAUGAAUAUUAUAUAUAUAUAUUAUGGAAUUUCAUUUAUAAAAAUAAGUUCCACAUUCUCAACUACUUUUGUUACAAUAAAUAAUCAAAACGUAUCGAAUUUUUUGAAUAUUUUAUAACUAUGACUAUUCUAAAUAAUAUUUUGAUUAUCUGCUCCCCUUGCUCAUUAAUAAAUCAGACAAACGAGUAAUUAAAAUGAUGGUUUAAUUGGUGAUUUAGUUUCAUAUAUCAUGUUGUGCGACUAAGGCACGAACUAAUUUAUAAUUAUUAAAAUAUGACAUCGUGUUUAAUUUGCAGCAUUUAAAUGAUGUAUUGAGCAAUAAUUAAUAACUAACUAUCAUGGGUCUUUAAAUUAAUUUCAUAUAUAUUUCUAUCUGUGUUUUAACUUUUUUUGGUUAGUGACCAAAGUUGGACACUUAAAAUUUUUCAGUUCUCGACGCGGCUGCAAAGUUUGCAGACGAAUAUUGAACGGCAGUCGGAUUAGAAGUGGGUGAAAAUGGAUGGAAAUGGAAAUGGAAAACUGCAGCUCAUUGGGGCGUUUAUGGGCGCUUUGGCGUAAUUUCUAUUAUUUUCCAUGGCCGACUGUGGCGCACUCAAAAAGCAAACAAUUAAAUGUCCAGACUGCGCCCGUGGGCAUGCUGUGAACAGAACAAAUUGAGGUCAGAACGGGUAAAACAGUUGGCAGGCAGGCUGGCGGGCAAGCAGGCGGAGGCAAGGGGAAAACCCAAACAACAGUUAAAAGAAAAUUGGCUACCACAAAAUGAAGUCGACUGGGAGCUGGAGAGCUCAAGGCUGGAUCCGAGCUCUGAAGCUGAGCCGAGAACCCGAAGACCAAAGACCAUAGCCCAGAGAAGCUGGAAAAGCGGAAAACUGGGACCUGGCCAUGGCCACACGCCAAACACUUGUAUUUUGGGGUCAUAAAAGCAGGGGAAAAUUGUGCUAAUUAACCCUAAAAGAAAGCUUUUCCCAGGCGGGCGUGUGUGUGUGUGGGGCUUUGUAUUUUCCCCACACUUCGCUCUCCAGUGAGAGUGCAUUUAAAAUUAUUUUGCACAUUAUUGCCGCUCAUUGUUUUUAUAACCCAAUUAUUAUACAACAAACUGUGCGGCUGCUUAGAGGCCUCGUCUGUUGGCAAUGCGAAAAUAGCUUUUAUUACUAUGCUGUUACUCGGUGCUGUCAAGUGGCUAUAACACGCAUACGACACGUUGCCCGGCCCAAGAGCACCGAACAACAACAGUCCAAAUAUGAGUAAUUAGCCGUAAAAAUACAAACAAUAUAAUAUUUAGCAUGUGAUUACAGGUUGCUAUCGUUAUGAUAGCCCAGCUACAACAAUGAAUCACAAACAAUUUGCCGACUAACAACUUUUAAUGUGUGUUGGCAGCAGCAAAAUAACACCACACACGCACGCACACACACACCACAUUCAGGCCCCCACGAAAACAAACAAAGGUCCUAUGCAAAAACCCAAAGCAAACCAAAUUCCGGAAAAGAAACCGUACACCCGGACAGCAAAACACCUAAGCAAACAGCACGUGGUCCCUGGAUGCCCCUUAUAUUGUUUUUCGGCAGGAAAAACAGAGCCGAAACUGAGGUCUUUAAUAAUUUCACUUGAUAGUUCCUCGGGGGAAACAGGAGGAAAGGCACGUAUAUAAAAUGCUUAUGCCGGGAAUUACUAUCAAAAAGGCAUUAGGCAACCAUAUGCGGCAACGAUAAAUGCGAGCAACUAAAUUUAAAUUUAAGCGGUUGCCAGGCACCCGCCACCUACAAAACAACGGGGAAAGCAGUUACACUUGAGUACACCUGGAAAAAGGCCUUUUAUAAUUAGUGAAGCUCUAUGGUUCGGAGUUUAUAUUAGGUGACUAAAUACAUACAAUUAUAUUUUUAACAGAAAUCGCUCCAGUUCGUAGAUCAAGUGCCUCCAGGUGUUUGUGUACUUUAAGCCACACUUAUAGGUUAUUUCCUUUCUUAAAAAUACAACUGAUAAAUAUUUUUUGCCGUGCCGUUCGACGUUGGCAGAUAGGUAAGACAUACGUGUGCACUCAGCGGAUGUGCGUGUUUGGCAGCUGACUGGCUGCCACCUCGCCCCCAACUCUGCAACUUCCUAAUGCCGCAAAGUCAUUUGGCGGCUUAUGUUGCGCCUUUCGCGAGCGACCGACAAACAAACAGUAUUGAGUUAAGGUGAAAAAUAUGCAAAAGGCAAACAGCAGCGGUGAAAAACAAAACCGAAAAACGGAAACGGAAGUGGGAGGGGAAGGGGAAAGUCGACGAGCAAAAGAAUCGCACGCACAACGCAACUUGCCGCCGAUCAUUUAUAAUGCGUUUGCGUUUGCGUUGGCACAACACGGCGUAUGGGUAACGCGAUUUUGCCCCAGAAGCCCAUAAGUUGUAUUUGGUGUUUGUUGUCACUGCUGCGUGCGUGGUUGCCAUUAGCAGAGGUUCGUUUAACGCCUGGCUAAAUAUCCUUGUGUUGUCCUGCAGACAGUUGAACGCCCGAUUCUCUGGAUUCUCAGAAUCAAAUAAGCAGACUGUAUUAUUUUCAGCAAAUAUUUUUCUAGCUAAAUUCAAUUAAAUGAAUACAAUUUCUAUUGGAGCGCGUGCCAGCAUCGAUAAUUUAAUAUAAUUAUCAGCAGACCAGGUGCAAUUUAUUGAUCAAUUUAAAAUUUUUCAAAAUUAGUUUUAUGUAUGCUUCGAUUAGGCAACAUACUAAAAUUUAUUGGCCAGUACGAAAUAAUGGUUUAUUACGCUUGAAUUAAAUUUAUUUAUUUAAUGGCAAUUAAGCCUAUCUAGCGAAAAUGAUAUUUCUCCAAAGGCAGUUAUAAAAGCAUAUAUUUAAAGAGUCGGAAGCGUAUUUAUAUAUCCACUUUUCAACUCAUACUUCUUCCCCUUGGCUUGCUGCGCCUGCAGAGCUCAUAAAUAGACCCUCUCGAGUUUCAGCCAUCUGCAACGCCAACGCGUUCGCGCCUUUCCUCGACACUUCGCCCACGCUUCGAGGCCAAGAUAAAUUAAUUGGUUUUUUAUUUAUGACGCGAAUGGAUGGAUGUGGGGCACUGACACCCGACAUCGCUGCCUUCUGGGUACUUUGCCAAAUUGUCGCUGCUCGAUGCUGUUGAUGUGUGAAAGGCGCUUCUGCUGCCUCGUCCUUUCGAUUCAUUGCCUACUAAUUGAUUUACGCCCAGACGGUGGCUGUCAUCGAUUGAUUGGGAGCAACAAACUGCUGACCUGGUCCCUGGCCCACCAUCCACAGUCCACAGUCCACUGUGUUCAGGGCCAGAUUAAAGACAUCCAGUAGCUGCGCCAGCUGCCUCCGACAAUUUAUUAGCAAAUGUAAUGAGCAGAGUUUAUUAGCCGACCGGCUCGUGUUUGCGUCUAAUUGAAAUUUACAUGCACACCGGACAUUCCAGCAUAUCCUGACUGCCAUUCACCCGACCACACCCCCCACCCCUCCCCACGUGUGCGUGUUUGUGUAGGCAGUGCAAACAAUUGUCAUCAUUAAAAUAACGGCAAGGAUGCACACACACACACACACACACGCUGUUCAUGAGCAUCGCUCAUGUGCAUCUGCAGAACAAUAAAUAAAGACAAUUUGCAGCUGCAAUUAUUAUGAGAACCGAUAAGCCAGCUAAGCAGUUCAACAUGUGCUUCACAUGGGGCCAUAGAAGCAGGCGAAUGCACAUAAUCCCCCAUAUAUUUCUAUGACAAAAUCUGGGUCACAGUGUGCCCGGAAAUGUUAAGCAGUUUCUAGCAUGGUUCAACCAAUAGCCACUUAAUAGCACGCACAGAAAAAAUUACUGACUUACAAAAUAUUCCUUAAAUGAAUGCCUAGGUUUUUUCUUUAUGUGUACUUUCCCAUCAACUGAUGAAACUGCAGCUUUAAGUUGUCGCCAUAGACAGCUAACUCGAUUCGUAUGGCCAAACGGGCUGCGUUCAACUUCAAAGUGCCUCGAAUUAGUCGACAGAUGCACAAUUAUUUAAGGCCUGUCUGGGAGAAAUGUUAAGUGCUCUGUGGUUCGAGAUGGAGAACUUUGAGUGCCAGAAGUCUGGUCUGUGCCGAAUUGCAGGUGAGCUUGGCAUUGGCCCGAGAUCUUGUGGCCUUUGCCUGUGGCCGACCAAUUUCGAAAACCAAUUUGGCCGAGACCAGGGAAAUUCCUUUGGAUAUUCUGGCAGAUGCAUAAGGUGUCGUAGCAGCUGGAGCAGCAGCACAUAUGACCAUUCGGUGUCAUUAGCACAAAGCUAAAGCUGGUCACAAAAAUUAGACUAAUGAAAACGAAUGGAUAUCUAGACUAAUCCAAUUCCUGUCACCUUAUUUAUAGACACAAAGGAAAUAGAGCGCCGAAAAAAGGCAUUGUCAUUGGCGA
Long non-coding RNA from Drosophila yakuba, 6379 nucleotides. RefSeq lists it as uncharacterized. The transcript is spliced from 2 exons. The record is from RefSeq and is a predicted model, not a curated record. NCBI's taxonomy places the organism in Eukaryota, Metazoa, Arthropoda, Insecta, Diptera, Drosophilidae.